This 253-nucleotide ribosomal RNA is filed under the name uncultured bacterium. RNAcentral describes it as "partial 16S ribosomal RNA". It matches the Rfam family "Bacterial small subunit ribosomal RNA", at positions 524 to 776 of the family's 1533-position model. The record is from RNAcentral.
UACAGAGGUGGCAAGCGUUGUUCGGAAUUACUGGGCGUAAAGGGCGCGUAGGCGGCCUUCUAAGUCAGACGUGAAAUCCCCCGGCUUAACCUGGGAACUGCGUCUGAUACUGGGAGGCUUGAGUAUGGGAGAGGGAUGUAGAAUUCCAGGUGUAGCGGUGAAAUUCGUAGAUAUUCGCAAGAACACCAGUGGCGAAGGCGGCUCACUGGCCCGGUACUGACGCUGAGGUGCGAAAGCGUGGGGAGCAAACAGG